Molecule: long non-coding RNA, 4516 nt
Organism: Folsomia candida
Lineage: Eukaryota; Metazoa; Arthropoda; Collembola; Entomobryomorpha; Isotomidae
Exons: 3
Source: RefSeq, a predicted model, not a curated record
CGUCCCUUACGUAAGGUUUAAAAUGACGACUUUAUAUUUAACAAUCUACCCCCAAAGAUGAUGAGCAUGCAAAAAGUCACUAUUUGCUCUUUUAGUCAAGUCCAAUAAAUCAAAAUCAAGUUCAUCGAGUGCAUUCAAUGUCCAAUUUUAUUUUUUUAACUGGGUUAUGUAACACAUUUUAUUUUUAGCUGAAAGUAUUUACUUAAUCAUUUAAUGAUUGUUGUGUGUACUGAUGUGCAUUCUAUUGAAGGAUGAUUCAAAUUAGCAUAAAUCUGAUUAAAUUUAAACCUAAUUCUUCCUCCUCCUUGUUUUGUGUGUUAGCAGUGACGGAGUGAGCGACGUGCGAAUUUAUUUAUGUUUCAAUGCUUGUUAACCUAAUGCUUUUAAUACUAUUUUCAUGAUUGCAUGUAGACAGAUGCCGACCCAUUAUUCUCUCCCCAUUAUAAAUCGACUUGUAAUUAAACAACAAACUCCAAACUCGUGCUAAAUAAAGACAAGCCUGACUUUAGCAUGUUUCCUUAAUAUCUCUGCAUUGACGGUGUGUCUUAAAACUUAAUUUAAUCCCAAGUGAUAAAAUGAACUGUAAUUAGCAUUUAAUUGAUAGACCAAAUCAAGCUAAUACAUUUAACUUACAAGGGAUACAAAUAAAACAACACGGCCUCGUUAACCACUUUUUCACCACUCAUGACUCACGACCACCUUUGCCAAAACCAACGGGAUAGGAAAAUAAAUUGCGUUUGAUAUAAACGGCAAAUUGGUAAUAAUAAAACAAUACAAAACUCCAUCUAAUAAUAAUUACUCGGUGACAAGAGAAUAAUCGCAACAGUCUUCAAGCCAAGGUGUGAAGAUAAUAAUAACCUUAAUUGUUUCGAAUUCAAAGAAUAGCCGGAAAAUAUAAGCGAUAAGGUUAACUACAAUUCUGUAAAAAUCAGAGGAAAAUAAAAAUGUGGAUAUCCUCUCCCAUCCCCAGUCACAACAUUUACCAUUUUAUUAAUGAACUUGUGGCAUCGUGUAAUAACUCGGUUGGUGGAAAUUAGUUAAACGUGUAAAUAAAAUGUCACCGUAUUUCAAUCGUCGUGAGAGUUUAAAAAUUUCUCAAACUCAAAUAUCAUCGUCACAAUACAAAUUAAUAAUCUAACUUUGCAUCACAACUUUCUUUGUUCAUUUUUCUAUUACACAUCAUCGAUACACCUCAUCGCUUAUGCGCACUUAAUGGUUAAGCAACAACAUUAUUGCCAUUGUUGGCUGUCAUUUAUCGCAUUUAAUAAUUUACUCCUUAAAGGUUAUUCUAAAUGAAUUAAAAUAAUUGUUCUUCAAAACUGUGAUUUAAGUACCUCCGACGACAGAACCACUAUUAAAGGAUUUCUCCACUUCACCGUGUGUAUUAUAAAACAGACUCAAGUUCACAAACUUUUCCCACACGUUGAACAGCAUACUCAUGUGUGUAAUGCAUGUACAUAACAAUUCAAAACAUCCACAACCAAGCAACAAAGUUUUAACGACACGUAACCACGAAGAGAACUUGACAAAAGACAGACUGCAUUUCCUUGCGAGUUUAGCCACUAAAUAAUAAUUACUUAACAAGUGCAUCCUCUCUCAAAGUAAAGAAUUAAUACUUAUCUUUAACUCCCAUUCAUCAAAACUUUUGCUACACAAUGCUACUGACAUGGUACGACAACACUUUCUACCCGCAUUCUCCUCCUCGUCCACUUUAUUCGAUAAUAUAAUAAUCGUAGCAAUAAUCAUACUUGUGAGAGAGAGGACAUCACGGAACGCAACAUGAACAAUGGCAAGUGAUGAAGCCAGUUAGUGGACAAUUUAAAAAGUAAAGAGAGGCUGACUCACGAGUAGAAUGCGAAAUUUGAAGCCGAAUUCAGAGUACAAACAAUAGAAUGCACGUGUCAUGUUCCUCAUAAACAACCACCAGAAGUACAUACAGCCAAGUUUCACCCUCUUGAGCGAAAAAUUUCUAAAUUUUAAUACCUCGUUAUUACGAGAAGGACGCAGACAGAUUAAUGACGGAUUAUAGUGUUUAAAUCCAAUUUUAAGACGAAAUUGUUGUUAAAUAAAUGCGCGGAGUAAUUGUUUGGAGAAAAUAAGAAAAAGUGAUUAACGGAAAUUAUUAAUGGUCUGAUAAAAAUGUUGGUGUACAAAAAAAUUGUUUUUUUCAAACUUUUCUGCUAUGCAUUUGUUUGUAGACACAGCAAGUUAGUUAUUCUUUAGCUUUGACAUUGACCUUGACUUUUCCACCAUUUCAAUUUUGUAUCGUUUGGUCAGCAAGAAAUUUUGCAUCUGAUAGGAUUCAUUGAAAAUUCUGUAUUGUAUUCCUUCACGUUUGAUUGGAAUAAGGGCUCCAACGAAAGGAGAUUGGACGAUCAAGAAAGAUUUUAAUCGUUUGUUUAGUUGAACGAGAGAGAAAGGAUGUGCAGUCACCAUCCUUAUUUCAUGUAAAUUUACUUUGAAUCUAUCUAGCUUUAUUUUGCUAUGUAUUUUACGACCCAUGUCAUCGCCGCAAAUGCAAAAAGUGCUAAACAAUGGAAAAAGGAUGACUUGCAGAAGCAUUGAAAAAUGUUUGAAUUUUCCGUAUUACAGCUUGGGUAAUAAUGUAAAAUUGUACAUAUGCACAUAAAUACUGUAUGUGUAAGUAUAUGAGAUCGUUGUCCGUUCUUAAGUAAAAAAAAAUCCAGCAAUAAAUAUUUAAAAGUGCAACAACAUCUCACUACUACUCCCAUAGUGCUUUCUUCGUGGAUAAGUUUUUGUUCUGGAAUACAACACCACGAGUUAAAUUGUUCUUUCAAUUCAAUCAAACUUCCAAUUGCUACAAUUCUUCCAUCCCUCGAGAACCCUCACUCUUCACCAUCCCUCUUUCGCCCCCUAUAAAAACCGAACAUACUGAACGUGGACCAUUGUGAUGAGACAAUGCAAUUUAAAAGAGAUAUUGUACUCCUACAAGUUUAUACGUAUAUUCCGAAUGUAUUCUACGUCAACAUAAUGGAGGAUGUUAUCUAUCCUUCUAAUUUCAAAGUUGAUUGAAAAUACAAGCCCUCUGCUUCACUUACUCUGCACUUCACAGAGUUAGAAACUGAACUUGUGUUGGCUGAACGAAUCAAUCAGCAGAAAAAGGUAAAACUCAUGACCAGAAGAAGAUGAAGCAGAAGUAAAAGGCAUGAAUGAUGAGAAAACAAUUUCAUCUCUGAACAGCACAGCAGACUCGAUCAACGGUUAAAAUUUCAAUUUCGGAUUCUUGAGAAAAUGUGCAAUGUCCGGAGGAAAUGAAGAGGAGGAUCCACAUGGAAGGAAAUAUGGAGGGAUAAUGGUCAGCUGCAUUCUCCAGAAAGAAGAACGAACCUUAACUUCAAUUGAAAAAACAGAUGUAUAUAUUUAUACAUAUGUCCACUUUUACUCUUACCACAAAAAUUACCCAAUAGACAACCCCUGGUGGUUUGUAAAAGUGGGGAGCUCGUACAAUUUUGUAACGGGAAAGACAGGAAAAAUGUGCGUGGAAGGAAUACUGUUACAUUACCACCAAACUGAAAAAAACAUGAAUUGAAGAAGCUUCAUUUUCCGGUAACGUAUUUAUUCUUUAUCAUACUAUGUAAAUACUUUAGUUCCAGGUGUUGCGGAGAAAAAUUUCUGCGUCAUCCCUUUACAUACGAAGUUUAGCUCAAAAUUAGUCAUAAUGGAAACAAUGAAAUUAGUCAUCUGAAACGUUUUCAAAAGGGCUUAAGUCUAAUUUUUUGCGACCCAGACAAGUUCAUAAUGAGUGGUACCGUGGAAGGCGUCAUAUACUUAAAAAAAUCAAAAGUUAUUUGAUAUUUAUCUCUUUAGUGUCAUAAAUUUUCUAAAAUCUUAAUAGGAUUAUGAUUUUUUGCAUAUGUUGAAGGUACAUGCACUGCGUAGGACAGUCAACAGUGAGGUGAGACAGAUAACGUGAGUAUGAAGGUCACUGGAAAGGAACAAAUCUCUUGCAGGUAUGAUGGAAGGGAGACACAACUACUUCUUAUUCUUCUAAAUAACUUUACUUGGACAUUACAUAUAACAGGUAUACAUCCAAAGUAAAAUACAAUAAGCGACUUUAGAAAAACCUGAUUGUCCCGAGUGUCCUAAUUGACAGUGACAUGACAGAUUACGGAUCAAAAGAUUCUUAAUUGUCGUAAAAAAAGAUGAUCACCUCAACUUCCACUUGUUUAGCUCAUUGAGCUCAGCCACUUAAUAAUAAUAAUAAUGAGACUUGGAGGAGUAAACAAUUGUUUACUCCUCCAAUUUCGGUACCUUUUCAUUAACGAAGUAGCGUUGCAUUUCGGUACCUUUUCGUCGGCGCCUAAUCGUUACAUACUGUGUAGCUCGGGAAUACUCCAGAAACAACAAAAACUGCUCACUAAACAAAGAUUAAGAAAUUCCAGCAAAUACAAACAAUUAAUGUUGGCAUUGUGAAGCUAUAGCUUUGCAGUUUAUAAAACAACCGCAUGAUGGACAACCAACCAAAUAAUAAAUGCAAAUAAAUAACACAAUCAAC